CCAUCGGUGGUUCAGUGGUAGAAAUGCUCGCCUGCCACGCGGGCGGCCGGGGUUCGAUUCCGGCCGAUGCA
Molecule: transfer RNA, 71 nt
Filed under: Cordylochernes scorpioides
Lineage: Eukaryota; Metazoa; Arthropoda; Arachnida; Pseudoscorpiones; Chernetidae
Description: tRNA-Gly
Rfam family: tRNA
About the family: Transfer RNA (tRNA) molecules are approximately 80 nucleotides in length. Their secondary structure includes four short double-helical elements and three loops (D, anti-codon, and T loops).
Source: RNAcentral